This 400-nucleotide ribosomal RNA is filed under the name Vagococcus sp. AZTITEMP271. RNAcentral describes it as "bacterial SSU rRNA". It matches the Rfam family "Bacterial small subunit ribosomal RNA", at positions 934 to 1335 of the family's 1533-position model. The record is from RNAcentral. Lineage: Bacteria; Bacillati; Bacillota; Bacilli; Lactobacillales; Enterococcaceae.
GGAGCAUGUGGUUUAAUUCGAAGCAACGCGAAGAACCUUACCAGGUCUUGACAUCCUUUGACCACUCUAGAGAUAGAGCUUUCCCUUCGGGGACAAAGUGACAGGUGGUGCAUGGUUGUCGUCAGCUCGUGUCGUGAGAUGUUGGGUUAAGUCCCGCAACGAGCGCAACCCUUAUUGUUAGUUGCCAUCAUUUAGUUGGGCACUCUAGCAAGACUGCCGGUGAUAAACCGGAGGAAGGUGGGGAUGACGUCAAAUCAUCAUGCCCCUUAUGACCUGGGCUACACACGUGCUACAAUGGACGGUACAAUGAGUUGCGAGACCGCGAGGUUUAGCUAAUCUCUUAAAGCCGUUCUCAGUUCGGAUUGUAGGCUGCAACUCGCCUACANGAAGCCGGAAUCGC